AACGCACAUUGCGCCCGGUGGUAUUCCGCCGGGCAUGCCUGUUCGAGCGUCAUUUAAACCAAUCCAGCCUCGUGCUUGGGUCUUGGGCCUUUCGCCUCUGGGCGGGCCUUAAAAUCAGUGGCGGUGCCAUCUGGCUCUAAGCGUAGUAAUACUCCUCGCUAUAGACGUCUGAUGGUGUCUUGCCAACAACCCCUAAUUUUUACAGGUUGACCUCGGAUCAGGUAGGGAUACCCGCUGAACUUAA
RNAcentral lists this unclassified non-coding RNA (244 nucleotides) under uncultured Helotiales. Its description in RNAcentral is "sequence contains ITS2". The stretch from base 1 to 52 matches the Rfam family "5.8S ribosomal RNA", at positions 103 to 154 of the family's 154-position model. Lineage: Eukaryota; Fungi; Ascomycota; Leotiomycetes; Helotiales. The record is from RNAcentral.